RNAcentral lists this long non-coding RNA (80 nucleotides) under Amphimedon queenslandica. RNAcentral describes it as "uncharacterized LOC109586388". Lineage: Eukaryota; Metazoa; Porifera; Demospongiae; Haplosclerida; Niphatidae. The record is from RNAcentral.
AAAAGAGAAGAGAAUGAAGAAUUGAUGCAUAAAAUAAAAGAUUAUGAAAGAGAUACAUUGAAACUGGACCAGGAAAUAUC